CAUAGCGGUGAUGGCACACUUUGAAUGCACCAGUUUCCCACGGAUCACUGAAGUUGCAACGUUGCGCAUGGUUAGAACCUGGAUGGUGACCAUCUAGGGAAUCGCGUACUGCUGGGU
RNAcentral lists this ribosomal RNA (117 nucleotides) under Diaphorina citri (Asian citrus psyllid). Lineage: Eukaryota; Metazoa; Arthropoda; Insecta; Hemiptera; Psyllidae. The record is from RNAcentral.